CCACACCUAAAAAACUUUCCACGUGAACUGUCUUACUUAGUUUUGUGCUGCUGCGGUGGCGGUGUUCUGCGCACAUGUGCGUGGGACGCUGUUUUCUGCAGUGGCUAAACGAAGGUUGGUUGGAGUGUUGUUGUGUGUGCUUUAUUGCGCGCCAUCGUACGCUCUGCCGGCUGACUUAUUUUUUCAACCCCUUACUUUAAAAACUGAACUAUACUGUGAGAACGAAAGUUCUCGCUUUUAACUAGAUAACAACUUUCAGCAGUGGAUGUCUAGGCUCGCACAUCGAUGAAGAACGCUGCGAACUGCGAUACGUAAUGCGAAUUGCAGAAUUCAGUGAGUCAUCGAAAUUUUGAACGCAUAUUGCACUUCCGGGUUAUGCCUGGAAGUAUGUCUGUAUCAGUGUCCGUAAAUCAAACUUGCCUUUCUUUUUCUGUGUAGUCAGGAUUGGAGACGGCCGAUGUGAAGUGUCUCGCGUGCGUCGGUUUUUGGUGAAACAAAAGCACGGCGGUCGAGUCCUUUUAAAACGACACGAUCUUUCUUAUGUGUCUGCGGCGUGUGGCGCUCGAACGCAGUGAUUUUCGGAUCGCUUGUGGUCGUCGGCGACUUCGGUGAAUGCAUUAUGGAGGAAACCUCGGUUCGCGGUACGUUAGGCUUCGGCUGGACAAUGUUGCGAUGCUGUGUGUGGAUUCCGUGUUUAUCUUGAGGUGUACUGGCGGUUGCGGGCUUGAACCGGGUGUUGUUGUGUAGUAGAGAGUUGCAUUUUGUUGUGGAUUCGUCUGUGACUGGCGCCUUUAUUGGUGUCGGUUGUGGGAGAAGGAUUGAUUUGGGAAAUUUUGUGUACACUUUUGUGUACAUCUCAAUUGGACCU
RNAcentral lists this ribosomal RNA (868 nucleotides) under Globisporangium okanoganense. Its description in RNAcentral is "eukaryotic LSU rRNA". The stretch from base 251 to 405 matches the Rfam family "5.8S ribosomal RNA". Lineage: Eukaryota; Oomycota; Peronosporomycetes; Pythiales; Pythiaceae. The record is from RNAcentral.